GAAGCAAACAAGAAAUGCGUCAACUACCUAGACAUCACACUUGACCUACGAUCCGCAUCAUACAAGCCUUACAUGAAACCCGGAAACACACCGCAAUACGUAAACCACGAAAGUAACCACCCACCAUCAAUAUUACGAUCAAUACCGCAAGCCAUAAACAAUAGACUAUCCAACAUAUCAUCCGAUAAGCAAUCAUUUGAUUCCGCCAUUCCCGCAUAUCAAGAAGCACUACAAAAAAGCGGUUACGACUACAAGCUUGAUUACAAUCCCCAACCACCCAAACCUAAACGAUCUAGAAGCAGAAAUAUAAUAUGGUUCAACCCCCCAUACAACUCCAAUGUCAUCACCAACAUUGGAUACAAGUUUCUUCAAGCUAUCGACGAUUCCUUUCCUCCUAACCACCCUCUACACAAGAUAUUUAAUCAAAACACUUUGAAAUUAAGCUACAGCUGCAUGCGUAACGUUCAUUGUAUUGUCU
Paramuricea clavata is the source of this 478-nucleotide non-coding RNA. Lineage: Eukaryota; Metazoa; Cnidaria; Anthozoa; Malacalcyonacea; Plexauridae. The record is from the annotation of a GenBank genome assembly.